This 127-nucleotide ribosomal RNA is filed under the name Microcebus murinus (gray mouse lemur). Lineage: Eukaryota; Metazoa; Chordata; Mammalia; Primates; Cheirogaleidae. The record is from RNAcentral.
AUCUACAGCCAUGCAACCCUGAAUGCACCGAUCUUGUCUGAUCUUGGAAGCCAAGCAGGGUAGGGCCCGGUUCGUACUUGAACGGGAGAAUGAACCUUGUUUUGGAGAUGACUGGAAACUUCAGAUC